AUGGAUCAGGAGCUGAUCGAGCACCUUGAGGCCAAAGUGAGUGCUGAUAGCGUGAGAUCUCACCCUCUCAUCGAUUUGUUCAUACCAACCAUCGACAGCGAGCACGACAUAUGCUACACCCAUCUUGAGAAACUUCCAGGUACACUAAAACCUGUAUUCGACAAUACUACAUGUAUCACACUGAGUGGCCUAAGCAAGCAUUUCUUCCAGUGCAAUUCCAGGGCAUUCAAAAGGGGCACGUGGACGCGUCGCAAGAUACAGUCGGAGUGCGGCAUGCACGCGAUGUGGCACAAGACCGGCAAUACCUUGCCGGUGAUGGUCAAUGGCCGGCAGACGGGCAGCAAAAAGGUUCUGGUGCUGCACACCAACAAGAACUUCGACCACUCCCACAAAAAAAAAGAACUUCGACCAGCAGAGGACCAACUGGGUGAUGCACCAGUACCACCUCGGGGACCUGGAGCAAGAGAAGGAGUGGGAGUUGGUCCUCUGCAAGAUUUUCUACCAGACGAACACUAG
RNAcentral lists this ribosomal RNA (516 nucleotides) under Triticum aestivum (bread wheat). RNAcentral's name for it is "partial small subunit ribosomal RNA". The record is from RNAcentral. Lineage: Eukaryota; Viridiplantae; Streptophyta; Magnoliopsida; Poales; Poaceae.